GACGAACCGUGCGAACGUUGUUCGGAAUCACUGGGCUUAAAGGGCGCGUAGGCGGCAUAGCAAGUCCGGGGUGAAAGCCCCCGGCUCAACCGGGGAAGUGCCUUGGAAACUGCUGUGCUCGAGGGAGGUAGGGGUCGAGGGAACUUCUGGUGGAGCGGUGAAAUGCGUUGAUAUCAGAAGGAACGCCGGUGGCGAAAGCGCUCGACUGGACCUCUGCUGACGCUGAGGCGCGAAAGCUAGGGGAGCAAACGGG
RNAcentral lists this ribosomal RNA (253 nucleotides) under uncultured Gemmata sp. Its description in RNAcentral is "partial 16S ribosomal RNA". It matches the Rfam family "Bacterial small subunit ribosomal RNA", at positions 524 to 776 of the family's 1533-position model. Lineage: Bacteria; Pseudomonadati; Planctomycetota; Planctomycetia; Gemmatales; Gemmataceae. The record is from RNAcentral.